Non-coding RNA from Vicugna pacos (alpaca), 1052 nucleotides. The record is from RefSeq and is a predicted model, not a curated record. Lineage: Eukaryota; Metazoa; Chordata; Mammalia; Artiodactyla; Camelidae.
GCUCUGAGAUGCUGGGAGAAUAAGCUGUCACUUACUGAGAGAGGGAAGACUAUGUGAAGAGCAGGUUCAAGUUGAUACGUUAAGGUUGAGAAGACUCAAAUAACUGUGUGAAGAUGCCAAGCGGGCGGCUGGUUAUGCAAGAUUGGAGUUAAGGAGACUUGAUCUGCUCUGGAGAUACACACUCAGGGUAAACAUGGUAUUUACAACCAUGAAACUGGAUGAGAUCUCUAGGAGAGUAGAGAUUCGGAAGAGAAGAGGACCAAGGAACAAGCUUGGGGCCAUUUGGUAUUAUUGAGGGCGUAAGGAUAAACUAUCAAAGGCAGAGGAGAGGCCAAAGAGCUUGGCAUCCUGGAAGCCAAGCGAAGAAACCGAAGGAGGAGAGGACAUCCAGCUGUGUCAAAUGCUACAGAUGGGUCCAGUAGGAGAGAGCUGAGCAUUUAUUUCUUGUUCACUUUGAAAAGAGCUAUUUCACUGAGUGGUAGAGAUGAAAGCUGGGGUCAAAAGAAAACAGGAGGAACAGGAUAGAUAACGAUGAGCAAAGAGAACUCUCUUGAGGCAUUUUCUAUAAAAAGGAAUAGAGAAAUAUGGCGACAGUCAGAAAAGAGAUAAGUGAAAUAAGAAAAAAAAGUCAGGAGCUGAAAAAGAAGAUGAGAAGGAGUAUUGGAGUUUUGAGGAGAACAAAGCUGUGAAACGGGCAUCUAAGAAAAUGAGGACCAUCAUCCAAAAUGUUAGCUCAACCACAGCUGCCCCAAGCCCGUGUGCUUAUACCAUGGCCACAGAGAAAGACCUUAGCGGCACCGGGCCAACAUAAUCCACUCUGGCUGCCCUAGUGUGAAACCUCAAUCAAAAGGUGAAACCCCACACAAGAGAUGAAAACCACUCUGGGUAAUACCUAAUGUCUACAAUAUUUUCUUCUUCAGUCUUGGCUAUGACUUUUUCUCUGCUCAAAGGUGACCGUUUCUUCUGUACAGCACAGGGAACUAUACUCAAUAUCUUGUAAUAACCUUUAAUGAAAAAGAAUAUAAAAACAAAUAUUUGUAUGUACAUGCAUG